AGUGAGGUGGCCGAGUGGCUUAAGGCGCACGCUUGGAAAGCGUGUAUACAGCAAUGUAUCGGGGGUUCGAAUCCCUUCCUCACUGCAA
Molecule: transfer RNA, 88 nt
Filed under: Putridiphycobacter roseus
Lineage: Bacteria; Pseudomonadati; Bacteroidota; Flavobacteriia; Flavobacteriales; Crocinitomicaceae
Description: Crocinitomix sp. SM1701 tRNA-Ser
Rfam family: tRNA
About the family: Transfer RNA (tRNA) molecules are approximately 80 nucleotides in length.
Source: RNAcentral